This 197-nucleotide non-coding RNA is filed under the name Micromonospora nigra. The record is from RNAcentral. Lineage: Bacteria; Bacillati; Actinomycetota; Actinomycetes; Micromonosporales; Micromonosporaceae.
CGACGGCACAUCAUGUGAGGUGCCCCGCGCGAGCGGGGAGAAUCGGGAAGCCGGUGCGAAUCCGGCACGGGCCCGCCGCGGUGACCGGGGAGCCACCGUCCACGCGCGCAGCGCAGCCACUGGCCCAGCGGCCGGGAAGGCGGACGGCCAGGCGUCGAUCCGGGAGUCCGAAGACCGGCCUCGCGUCAGGUGCCCAC